GGACUACUGGGGUAUCUAAUCCUGUUUGAUCCCCAUGCUUUCGUGCCUCAGCGUCAGUAAGAGUUUAGUGAGCUGCCUACGCAAUCGGUGUUCUGUGUCAUAUCUAAGCAUUUCACCGCUACACGACACAUUCCGCCCACUUCAAAUCUACUCAAGCUCAUCAGUAUCAAUGGCAGUUCCCAAGUUAAGCUUGGGGCUUUCACCACUGACUUAAUAAGCCGCCUACGCACCCUUUAAACCCAAUAAAUCCGGAUAACGCUUGGGACCUUCGUAUUACCGCGGCUGCUGGCAC
This 292-nucleotide ribosomal RNA is filed under the name uncultured Bacteroidota bacterium. RNAcentral describes it as "uncultured Bacteroidetes bacterium partial 16S ribosomal RNA". Lineage: Bacteria; Pseudomonadati; Bacteroidota. The record is from RNAcentral.